CUUAUGCGAUCAUACCAGCACUACA
Molecule: ribosomal RNA, 25 nt
Filed under: Saccharum officinarum (sugarcane)
Lineage: Eukaryota; Viridiplantae; Streptophyta; Magnoliopsida; Poales; Poaceae
Source: RNAcentral